GAUGAAGAACGUAGCGAAAUGCGAUAAGUAAUGCGAAUUGCAGAAUUUCCGUGAGUCAUCGAAUCUUUGAACGCACAUUGCGCCCACUGGUAUUCCGGUGGGCAUGCCUGUUCGAGCGUCAUUAUCCUCCCUCAAACCCCGGGUUUGGUGUUGGACCCAAGUUGUGUGAACAACUGGUCUUAAAGACAAUGACGGCGUCCGUGGGACCCUCGGUGCAACGAGCUUUUAGGAGCACGCAUCGAGUUGCAAGGACCUUCCGGGCCGGUCUCCUUUACUAUUUUACAUGGUUGACCUCGGAUCAGGUAGGAAUACCCGCUGAACUUAAGCAUAUCAAUAAGCGGAGGA
This 345-nucleotide unclassified non-coding RNA is filed under the name soil metagenome. RNAcentral's name for it is "partial contains 5.8S ribosomal RNA, internal transcribed spacer 2, and large subunit ribosomal RNA". The stretch from base 1 to 121 matches the Rfam family "5.8S ribosomal RNA", at positions 35 to 154 of the family's 154-position model. The record is from RNAcentral.